This 599-nucleotide long non-coding RNA is filed under the name Marmota monax (woodchuck). The record is from RNAcentral. Lineage: Eukaryota; Metazoa; Chordata; Mammalia; Rodentia; Sciuridae.
AGGGCAGGCAUGGGGCAGUGGGAAGGCCCUGCGGGUGGCAGCCCCUUGGACUUGGGUGCAUUUCUCUCCCACAGAAGUUCUUAUCCAGAUAUGGCUGGUCGGAGGGGCCUUCAUCCUGGGGUCCCAGCCCCAAGGAGCCAGCAGCAGCCCCUGUGGGCCCCACCCUGGCCGAAGCUGUGCGCAGGUUCCAGAGAGUGAAUGCGCUGCCAGCCAGUGGGAAGCUGGAUGCAGCUACCCUGGAGGCCAUGAACAGGCCUCGCUGUGGUGUCCCUGACACCCGGCUGCCAGCCCUGUCGACCCCUUCAGACCCACGGCCCAGGGCCCGAUCAAAGCGAUUCCUACAAAUGCUGCUACCCAGGCCAGGUGGGCAGCAGGAGGACUCCUCAGACAGUGGGGCCCUGAGGGCCUUCUCCAAAAAGACCCUGACCUGGAGACUGGUGGGCGAGGCCUACAGCAGCCAGCUCUCUGUGGACGAGCAGAGAUACAUCUUCAGACUGGCCUUCAGGAUGUGGAGUGAGGUGACACCGCUGGACUUCCGGGAGGAUCUCACUGCUCCUGGGGCCACAGUGGACAUAAAACUGGGUUUUGGGAGAGGUAAU